Molecule: ribosomal RNA, 412 nt
Filed under: uncultured Isosphaeraceae bacterium
Lineage: Bacteria; Pseudomonadati; Planctomycetota; Planctomycetia; Isosphaerales; Isosphaeraceae
Description: bacterial SSU rRNA
Rfam family: Bacterial small subunit ribosomal RNA
Source: RNAcentral
UCGAGAAUCUUCGGCAAUGGGCGCAAGCCUGACCGAGCGACGCCGCGUGGAGGACGAAGGCCUUCGGGUUGUAAACUCCUGUCGAGGGGGAAGAAGCCGCAAGGUUGACUGAUCCCUGGAGGAAGCACGGGCUAAGUUCGUGCCAGCAGCCGCGGUAAGACGAACCGUGCGAACGUUAUUCGGAAUCACUGGGCUUAAAGCGCGUGUAGGCGGACAGGCACGUCGGUCGUUGAAAGCCCCCGGCUCAACCGGGGAACGGGCGCCGAAACGACCUGUCUGGAGGGGCGUAGGGGGAGCUGGAACUUCCGGUGGAGCGGUGAAAUGCGUUGAGAUCGGAAGGAACGCCCGUGGCGAAAGCGAGCUCCUGGACGCCAUCUGACGCUGAGACGCGAAAGCCAGGGGAGCGAACGGG